This 497-nucleotide ribosomal RNA is filed under the name uncultured bacterium. RNAcentral's name for it is "partial 16S ribosomal RNA". It matches the Rfam family "Bacterial small subunit ribosomal RNA", at positions 28 to 507 of the family's 1533-position model. The record is from RNAcentral.
GACGAACGCUGGCGGCGUGCCUAAUACAUGCAAGUUGAGCGCUGAAGGUUGGUACUUGUACCAACUGGAUGAGCAGCGAACGGGUGAGUAACGCGUGGGGAAUCUGCCUUUGAGCGGGGGACAACAUUUGGAAACGAAUGCUAAUACCGCAUAAAAACUUUAAACACAAGUUUUAAGUUUGAAAGAUGCAAUUGCAUCACUCAAAGAUGAUCCCGCGUUGUAUUAGCUAGUUGGUGAGGUAAAGGCUCACCAAGGCGAUGAUACAUAGCCGACCUGAGAGGGUGAUCGGCCACAUUGGGACUGAGACACGGCCCAAACUCCUACGGGAGGCAGCAGUAGGGAAUCUUCGGCAAUGGACGAAAGUCUGACCGAGCAACGCCGCGUGAGGGAAGAAGGUUUUCGGAUCGUAAAACUCUGUUGGUAGAGAAGAACGUUGGUGAGAGUGGAAAGCUCAUAAAGUGACGGUAACUACCCAGAAAGGGACGGCUAACUACGUG